RNAcentral lists this ribosomal RNA (235 nucleotides) under uncultured bacterium. RNAcentral's name for it is "partial 16S ribosomal RNA". It matches the Rfam family "Bacterial small subunit ribosomal RNA", at positions 96 to 334 of the family's 1533-position model. The record is from RNAcentral.
CGGCGGACGGGUGAGUAAUGCCUGGGAAUAUGCCUUAGUGUGGGGGAUAACUAUUGGAAACGAUAGCUAAUACCGCAUAACGUCUACGGACCAAAGAGGGGGACCUUCGGGCCUCUCGCGCUAAGAUUAGCCCAGGUGGGAUUAGCUAGUUGGUGGGGUAAAGGCUCACCAAGGCAACGAUCCCUAGCUGGUCUGAGAGGAUGAUCAGCCACACUGGAACUGAGACACGGUCCAG